AGCAGCCGCGGUAAUUCCAGCUCCAAUAGCGUAUAUUAAAGUUGUUGCAGUUAAAAAGCUCGUAGUUGAAUUUCGGGGUCAGUAGGUUGGUCAUGCCCAUGGUAUGCACUGGUCUCACUGAUUCCUCCUUCCUGAUGAACCGUAAUGCCAUUAAUUUGGUGUUGCGGGGAAUCUGGACUGUUACUUUGAAAAAUUAGAGUGUUUAAAGCAGGCCAACGCCUGAAUACAUUAGCAUGGAAUAAUGAAAUAGGACGUUCGAUCCUAUUUUGUUGGUUUCUAGGAUUGACGUAAUGAUUAAUAGGGAUAGUUGGGGGCAUUAGUAUUCAAUUGUCAGAGGUGAAAUUCUUGGAUUUAUUGAAGACUAACUACUGCGAAAGCAUUUGCCAAGGAUGUUUUCAUUAAUCAAGAACGAAAGUUAGGGGAGUCGAAGACGAUC
This 436-nucleotide ribosomal RNA is filed under the name uncultured Glomeromycotina. RNAcentral's name for it is "SSU rRNA". It matches the Rfam family "Eukaryotic small subunit ribosomal RNA", at positions 569 to 1009 of the family's 1831-position model. Lineage: Eukaryota; Fungi; Glomeromycota. The record is from RNAcentral.